This is a long non-coding RNA of Mytilus trossulus (common blue mussel), 2084 nucleotides long. RefSeq lists it as uncharacterized. Lineage: Eukaryota; Metazoa; Mollusca; Bivalvia; Mytilida; Mytilidae. The transcript has 3 exons. The record is from RefSeq and is a predicted model, not a curated record.
AUUUUGUUAUAGUUUUAAAUAUCAUAAUUGCACUAACACGUGCAAAACUUGCUCAGUUCGAAAGUACAACUGUACCAUAUCAACAAUGCAUUUUCACGGAAAUUCCGAAAUUCAACGAUAAAUUGAUGGCAAAGUGAAAUAAUUGAUUAUUUUGGUUUUGUAUACUCAUUUCAUACGUACAAGAGAAUGCAUCGGGAUGAGAUGGCACGUGUACCUCUGCAUAAAUACAGGUCAAAACAUAAACUGAUAGUUCUGUUCACCAUUGUAAAUCCGGUUGCUGGGUUCCUUCUAUGGUACUUAAGACUACGAUUACUACGAAAAUGCUCAAAUAGAACUGAAGUAUUGAGAGUAGAGAGACAAAUGUCAACUUUAAGCUUUUUCGGAACGAUUACUACAUUUUUUAUGAUGACUCUGAUGUGUCUCUUCCUGGCUAUAACUGUAAGAGCAGACCACAAAAGGCGCGUACCAAAUCAACAACAGCCAUUAUUUACUCAGAGCGUACAGAUGAGUGGAAGGAUGCAAGCUCAUAUCGACAGUUUACCUGCUGCACGUGUGACGAAAACUAAAACCGAAAGUGUUCCACUGAAAUCGGAAGCUGAUGGAGAUAUGCAUAAUAUAUUAGAAGGAAAAACAUGCGGAGUUAAUAUUACUAGUAUUUUAGACCGUUGGUGUGAAUUAAGACACAACACAUCUACAAUUUCUGUUCCAUAGACAUAAUUUGUUUCUAAUUAGUUGUAAAAAUAAAGGUAUUUUGUAGUAAGAAGUAUUUGUCUAGCAAUUACGACAAGUGUAUUUUUUUUUAUUUAUGAUGACUUCUUUUUCCUGAUGGCGUCUUUCUAUUUAUAAAACAUAAAAGCAUAUUGAUAUACAAAUAUUCUAUAAUCAUAUGAAAAUACUUCAACCAAAAUGCGUUACAGUAGGAACUUAUUCAAUGUGCGCCAUUAUUUUCAGAUAGGUGGUUAAUAGCAAAAUGUUGCUUAAUUCCUGUGUCCAUAUCCGUAUACACUUCGUGAACUUUAAGGUUACGGAUGGCUCCAUUCUAAUGCUGAGACAGUUUCACUUGUGGUUCGAUUUUCGAGUUACCAUAACCAUUUUGUGAUAUUUGGUGAGAGAAAUCACAAUUUCGUCAAAUGAAAUUGUUAGGAGAAAUUAAUUUCUUUUUAUGACAGACAGCUUUUAUGUACAUUGUAUUUUCUGAUCUUUUUAAUUUUAAGGUUCCACUAAAGUCAAAAUAUAGGACACUUCAUAAACAUCUAAACUUUGCCUGUAUUUUUCAACCUAUAAUGAAUAAAGUCAUAAACUAUGAGAACAUAUGUUCAUUUAAACAUAAUUUAUAUAUACACAUUGUGUAAAUUGUAAAUAAACUUGAAAUUGUUAUGUUGUGGCCAAACCGGUUCUUGGGGUGAACACUAAAUUUUCAAAAAAAUCUACAGGCCUGCAAGACGACUUAAUUUGCUUAAAAUUGGUAUGGUGUUCUUUAACCCUGCUGACUGCCAUUGGCGAUUGCCAAAUUAAAUUGAUCACAAGAUCACAAGAUGUAACAAAAUGGAUCUUGAUAUAAACAGAAAACAAUUAACUUGUGGACACGAUGUUAUGCCACAAACAUAAGGUGUCAAUAUUUUUUUUUGUACACCAGAUCCGGAUUUCGACAAUAAAUGUCUCUUCAGUGAUGUUAGGGAUCGACACGGUAUUAGGAAGGCCAUAUAAAUUGUACCCUCAGUUUUAGAUAGACUCUUGAAUUUUAAGAGUCAAUAUAGAAUGAACGGAUCAUAUAAACCGGAGAAUAUGAUACAAGCCCAAACGAGUGUAAAUUGAAAACUUCGUUCAAACAUAUGAUUGCGUUGGAUAAAAACCGCAAUUUGUAUACGUGUGCAUGUAAAGCAAGUUCCAUUGUACAGCACAAACAACAUUUUCCAAAAGACCAAUGUAUAUUGAGUUUGUUAUUAGUAUAAACACAUAUGGACAUGCACAGUUCUGUAAUCUGUCGAUACUUGUAUCUUGGCAUUGUACUAAGUUAUGUUUUCCUCUAUUAAUCACGUUUAUAUUAAAUUAUAUCCAUUGGGUGUUGGAUGUGAACUGAAUGA